RNAcentral lists this ribosomal RNA (272 nucleotides) under uncultured prokaryote. RNAcentral describes it as "partial 16S ribosomal RNA". It matches the Rfam family "Bacterial small subunit ribosomal RNA", at positions 505 to 776 of the family's 1533-position model. The record is from RNAcentral.
GUGCCAGCAGCCGCGGUAAUACGGAGGGUGCGAGCGUUAAUCGGAAUUACUGGGGGUAAAGCGCAUGCAGGCGGCCUGUUAAGUCAGAUGUGAAAGGGCGGGGCUUAACCUCGGAAUUGCAUUUGAAACUGGCAGGCUAGAGUCUUGUAGAGGGGGGUAGAAUUUCAGGUGUAGCCCUGAAAUGCGUAGAGAUCUGAAGGAAUACCAGUGGCGAAGGCGGCCCCCUGGACAAAGACUGACGCUCAGAUGCGAAAGCGUGGGGAGCAAACAGG